This 470-nucleotide long non-coding RNA is filed under the name Homo sapiens (human). RNAcentral's name for it is "HSALNT0199073". The record is from RNAcentral. Lineage: Eukaryota; Metazoa; Chordata; Mammalia; Primates; Hominidae.
GGCCGGGAGCAGUUCCAGCCAGACCCUGCAGCUCUCAGACUGGGGCGGCCCUCUCCCUUGCCCUCCUCUGCUCGGCUGUGAUUUCGCUGUGCUUCUGUGGGAGAAAAUGCUAUAAGUGACUCUAUGGACAUCCGUAAAAAUAAAUGCCAGCUACUAUGACUAUUCAGGUGUACAGGUGACAUGCGAUAUUCAGAAAGAAGCUAAGAGUCUGGGGUUGCAUCAUCCUCCCCAGACAGGAAUGGGCUGAUGGCACUCUGCUCAGAAUAUCUCCUGGUUCCCUGUACAUGCAGGAUGAACACCCGCCCGAAAAGUCUUCCACAGCGCGGCCACUCCUCUCCCUCUUCCUUUCACCCUGAGGCCUGCUGCACUCCUCACCUGCUCCAGGAGAGCAGAGCCUGUGGUUUCCUGGCCCAAUGGACCUUCCCCAUCUCCAGACAUGCUUUACACAUCUCCAGCCCAGAGCCUUCGCA